ACAGAAUGUUACACACGCAGUCUACUUGAAAGUUCUUCGGGAAUGAUUAGGGUGGCGGACGGGUGAGUACGCGUAAAGAACUUGCCCUUCAGCUGGGGACAACAUUGGGAAACCGAUGCUAAUACCCGAUACGAUUACUUUAUGGCAUCAUAGAGUAAUGAAAGCUAUAUGCGCUGAAGGAGAGCUUUGCGUCCUAUUAGCUAGUUGGUGAGGUAAUGGCUCACCAAGGCGACGAUAGGUAGCCGGCCUGAGAGGGUGAACGGCCACAAGGGAACUGAGACACGGUCCUUACUCCUACUGGAGGCAGCAGUGGGGAAUAUUGGACAAUGGGCUAACCGCCUGAUCCAGCAAUUCUGUGUGGGUGAAGAAGGUUUUCGGAUUGUAAACCCCUUUCAGCAGGGAAGAAGAAAGUGACGGUACCUGCAGAAGAAGCAACGGCUAAUUACGUGCCAGCAGCCGCGGUAAGACGUAAGUUGCAAGCGUUAUCCGGAAUUACUGGGCAUAAAGGGCAUCUAGGCGGUUUAAUAAGUCAGAGGUGAAAAGUCAGGGCUCAACCUUGGCCUUGCCUUUGAAACUGUUAAACUAGAGUACGGGAGAGGAGGGCGGAACUACAAGUG
RNAcentral lists this ribosomal RNA (617 nucleotides) under uncultured Clostridium sp. Its description in RNAcentral is "bacterial SSU rRNA". It matches the Rfam family "Bacterial small subunit ribosomal RNA", at positions 39 to 675 of the family's 1533-position model. Lineage: Bacteria; Bacillati; Bacillota; Clostridia; Eubacteriales; Clostridiaceae. The record is from RNAcentral.